This 122-nucleotide ribosomal RNA is filed under the name Halobellus ruber. The record is from RNAcentral. Lineage: Archaea; Methanobacteriati; Methanobacteriota; Halobacteria; Halobacteriales; Haloferacaceae.
UGGGGCGGCCAAAGCGGCAGGGAGACACCCGUACCCAUCCCGAACACGGAAGUUAAGUCUGCCAGCGUAGGGGGAAGUACUGGAGUGCGCGAGCCUCUGGGAACGCUCCGUCGCCGCCCACC